RNAcentral lists this ribosomal RNA (498 nucleotides) under uncultured bacterium. Its description in RNAcentral is "partial 16S ribosomal RNA". It matches the Rfam family "Bacterial small subunit ribosomal RNA", at positions 28 to 507 of the family's 1533-position model. The record is from RNAcentral.
GAUGAACGCUGGCGGCGUGCCUAAUACAUGCAAGUCGAGCGAACAGACGAGGAGCUUGCUCCUCUGACGUUAGCGGCGGACGGGUGAGUAACACGUGGAUAACCUACCUAUAAGACUGGGAUAACUUCGGGAAACCGGAGCUAAUACCGGAUAAUAUAUUGAACCGCAUGGUUCAAUAGUGAAAGACGGUUUUGCUGUCACUUAUAGAUGGAUCCGCGCCGCAUUAGCUAGUUGGUAAGGUAACGGCUUACCAAGGCAACGAUGCGUAGCCGACCUGAGAGGGGGGGGCGCCCACACUGGAACAGAGACAGGCCCCAGCCUCCACGGGGAGGAACAAGAGGGAAUUCUCCCGAAGAGGGCAAAACCCUAACGGCGCACCCCCGGGUGAGUAAUAAGGUUCUUCGGAUUCAAAAACUGUUUUAUUGGGAAAAAAAAAAUGUAAAAGUAAAUCUCCACUUCUGGAGGGUCCCUAAUAAAAAGACCCGGACAACCCACGUC